RNAcentral lists this ribosomal RNA (443 nucleotides) under uncultured Lachnospiraceae bacterium. RNAcentral describes it as "bacterial SSU rRNA". It matches the Rfam family "Bacterial small subunit ribosomal RNA", at positions 341 to 792 of the family's 1533-position model. The record is from RNAcentral. Lineage: Bacteria; Bacillati; Bacillota; Clostridia; Lachnospirales; Lachnospiraceae.
ACGGAAGGCAGCAGUGGGGGAUAUUGGACAAUGGGGGAAACCCUGAUCCAGCGACGCCGCGUGAGUGAAGAAGUAUUUCGGUAUGUAAAGCUCUAUCAGCAGGGAAGAAAAAAUCAAAAUUGACUGUACCUGACUAAGAAGCUCCGGCUAACUACGUGCCAGCAGCCGCGGUAAUACGUAGGGAGCAAGCGUUAUCCGGAUUUACUGGGUGUAAAGGGAGCGUAGGCGGUUCGGCAAGUCAGAUGUGAAAACCCGGGGCUCAACCCCGGGACUGCAUUUGAAACUGUCGAACUAGAGUAUCGGAGAGGUAAGUGGAAUUCCUAGUGUAGCGGUGAAAUGCGUAGAUAUUAGGAAGAGCACCGGUGGCGAAGGCGGCUUACUGGACGAUAACUGACGCUGAGGCUCGAAAGCGUGGGGAGCAAACAGGAUUAGAUACCCUGGUA